This 100-nucleotide ribosomal RNA is filed under the name human gut metagenome. The record is from RNAcentral.
GCGAUGAGGGUACACCUGUUCCCAUCCCGAACACAGCAGUUAAGCUCAUCAGUGCCGAAAAUACUUUGGUGGUGACGCCACGGGAAGAUAGGGCGAUGCC